GUAGGUGGCAAGCGUUGUCCGGAAUUAUUGGGCGUAAAGCGCGCGCAGGGCGGUCCUUUAAGUCUGAUGUGAAAGCCCACGGCUCAACCGUGGAGGGUCAUUGGAAACUGGGGGACUUGAGUACAGAAGAGGAAAGCGGAAUUCCAAGUGUAGCGGUGAAAUGCGUAGAGAUUUGGAGGAACACCAGUGGCGAAGGCGGCUUUCAGGUCUGUAACUGACGCUGAGGCGCGAAAGCGUGGGGAGCAAACAGGAUUAGAUACCCUGGUAGUCCACGCCGUAAACGAUGAGUGCUAAGUGUUAGGGGGUUUCCGCCCCUUAGUGCUGCAGCUAACGCAUUAAGCACUCCGCCUGGGGAGUACGGCCGCAAGGCUG
RNAcentral lists this ribosomal RNA (372 nucleotides) under uncultured organism. RNAcentral's name for it is "partial 16S ribosomal RNA". It matches the Rfam family "Bacterial small subunit ribosomal RNA", at positions 527 to 896 of the family's 1533-position model. The record is from RNAcentral.